GACGAACACUGGCGGCGUGCUUAACACAUGCAAGUCGAACGGAAAGGCCCUGCUUUUGUGGGGUGCUCGAGUGGCGAACGGGUGAGUAACACGUGAGUAACCUGCCCUUGACUUUGGGAUAACUUCAGGAAACUGGGGCUAAUACCGGAUAGGAGCCCCUGCUGCAUGGUGGGGGUUGGAAAGUUUCGGCGGUUGCGGAUGGACUCGCGGCUUAUCAGCUUGUUGGUGGGGUAGUGGCUUACCAAGGCUUUGACGGGUAGCCGGCCUGAGAGGGUGACCGGCCACAUUGGGACUGAGAUACGGCCCAGACUCCUACGGGAGGCAGCAGUGGGGAAUAUUGCACAAUGGGCGGAAGCCUGAUGCAGCAACGCCGCGUGCGGGAUGACGGCCUUCGGGUUGUAAACCGCUUUCGCCUGUGACGAAGCGUGAGUGACGGUAAUGGGUAAAGAAGCACCGGCUAACUACGU
This 467-nucleotide ribosomal RNA is filed under the name uncultured bacterium. RNAcentral's name for it is "partial 16S ribosomal RNA". It matches the Rfam family "Bacterial small subunit ribosomal RNA", at positions 28 to 506 of the family's 1533-position model. The record is from RNAcentral.